AUUGAACGCUGGCGGGAUGCCUAACACAUGCACGUCGAGCGAUCGGCGGACGGGUGAGGAAUGUGAGGGAACCUGCCCGUUGGAGGCAGAUAACUACUGGAAACGGUAGCUAAUACCGCAUACCAUCAGAGGUGCCCAGAUGGGAUUAGCUCGUAGGUGGGGUAAUGGCUCACCUAGGCGACGAUCCCUAGCUGGUCGGCGAGGAUGACCAGCCAGACUGGGACUGAGACACGGACCAGCCUCCUACGGACGUCAGCGGGGGGGAAUAUUGCACAAUGGGGGAAAUCCUGUUUCAGCCAUGCCGCGUGUGCGAAGAAGGACUUCGGGGGGUAAAGUAGUAGCGGCAGGUAGGCGUUACUAGCAGAAGGAGCACCGGCUAACCCCGUGCCAGCAGCCGCGGUAAUAC
This 406-nucleotide ribosomal RNA is filed under the name uncultured bacterium. RNAcentral describes it as "partial 16S ribosomal RNA". It matches the Rfam family "Bacterial small subunit ribosomal RNA", at positions 29 to 526 of the family's 1533-position model. The record is from RNAcentral.